AAUGAGAACAUCCUUGAGGAUCACAGAGUCCAGAGUCCCUAGAGAGAGGGAGAGCAAUCAUGUCUUCUAGACGGCAAGUUACUUACACAUAUGUCUAGUCUCUUCUGAGGUGUAAGAACACAGCACUCUUCCCCUCUGAAGGAUGUAGCAACGACAUGCCAUCUUGGACACAGACCCAGCUCUCACCCAACACCAAAUCUGCUUGUGCCUUGAUCUUGGACUUACAACCUCCAGAACUUCUCUCUCUGUUGCCCAGACUGGAGUACAAUGGCGUGAUCUCAGCUCACUGCAACCUUCGCCUCUUGGGUUCAAGAGAUUCUCCUGCCUCAGCCUCCUGAGUAGCUGGGAUUACAGGGUUAAGCAAUUGACUAUCAAUCAAUAAUCUUUUAUGAAAGAAGAGAUGGUGCAGCACACGCAUGCCCAAUAUUAAGAGAGAGAAGACAUUUAUUGAGGCAAGCAGCUGGAGUGGACCUGCCCCCAUCACCAGGCCAGCUUCCCACCUGCACGUGCAGCUCUUUCUUCUUUUGCAGGAGGCUGGCUCUGCUCAUUAGACAUGCAACAAAGAGCUGGCCUGUGGAGCACACAUCCAUAUUCAUAACUCAAGUCAGCUGGAAAGUUGUACAUUUUUCUUUCUGGGAAGUCAUGGCGACAAAGACUGAAGACCCAGGCAGCACAAAUGUGAAUGAUGGUUCCAUGGAAAAGAGAAGGAGGUGAACAAAAGGAAGAAAUGCAGAGAAAAAUAUGGAAUAGAAAUAUGAGGGAAGAUAUUAGCAAACUGGCUACAUCUUUUAUGACAAACUCAACUGAUUACAUCUUUUCCAAGAACAUCUUCAGAGGUUUGCUGGAGUUUGGAUUUACUACUGAGUCAUAUUUGGAGCAUGCUGGAAUCUUACAACUGAGAUUACCGAGUCAGAAACUAAUCCUUCCCACACAUACCGUACUUAUGGUGAAGGGAUUUCAGAUAUAGGAUGCUAUUCUCAGACGACUACAUGAGGACAUAACAAGAAGAUGGUCAUCUACACGCCAGGGAGAGAAUUCUUACCAGAAACCAGCUGUGAUGAACUUUAGUCUGAGACUUUCCAGCCUCCAACACUCUCAGAAAAUGCAUUUCUGGUCCUUAAAACCCCUAGUCAGUGAUAUUUGUUGUGGUAGUCUGAGCAGACUAAGAAAUCCACUCUUUUGCCCUUUGCUAACUUCUACAGUUUAAUGUAAAUGCCAGUUUAAUUGUAUCAACCAAAAAUUUCCAUGGCUAUUUUUUUUAAACAUGUGUUUUCCAGUCUUAAUACAUUAAUACAAUUCAGAUUCUAUUAUGUGCUAAUUAAAUUUAGAUGAUUUAUAUGAUGGUCUUCUGAACUACUUCUCAAAUAAAAGUAGUACAUCCUCC
Homo sapiens (human) is the source of this 1384-nucleotide long non-coding RNA. Ensembl annotates it as long intergenic non-protein coding RNA 2055. The record is from Ensembl. Lineage: Eukaryota; Metazoa; Chordata; Mammalia; Primates; Hominidae.